CCAACUGAAGUCGCCUUUAAGAGCUUAAUACCCCUCUGUUGAAAACCUCGGCCAAUGGUCAUACCUACUCACGUUAUACUUAUUGCAUGGAUUGACGUUUAUCUGACAUGCCAUGACUUUGCACCGCAAAAUCGGCAGACUGUUUUGAACAGAAAAUUACACACAAGGCGUCUCCAUGGGCGUAGGCAGGUUUUACCAUCUAUUUCACUGGCUGACUACGCCCUUGAGCGUCUCCAGGGGGCCUAGCGCGAAAACCGAAAUUCGCAAAUUGCAAAUAUUUUGCUACAUCAACAUUGCUCCUAUCUGGCUUUGUCUAUGCAAUACAACUUUGAAAACAAAUAAAAUAAUUUUUAUCAAAUAUUUUGAUUUACUUUUGUCACACUACCGUAUUAUAUUUCAGAUUGUCUUUGUCUAUGUUCAUAAAAUCUAUGGAGGUCAAAGGCAUAUUUACCCUCCAUAAGGCCUUACACUUGUAUCUGGCCGAUUAGAACAUAGACAAAAGUCUGCAAUGUCAAUGCUGUCAAUAAAGUAAUUGACGCAAAACUGUCAAAGUUUUCAUAUAAAAUUAUGGAGUGUGGAAUUAAGAGGAGUGGCAUUUCUUAUGGUAGAACUGUUGCAAAAGUGUCCAGCUGUCAGCUAUAAAAAUAGUUCCAAAUCUCCCCAGAGUAGCGCUAGAGUAGCUAAGAACCUAGGCGUUAUUGACGGAGUGGAUUGCGCUGUCUAUGAUUUGAUUUUUUUUACAUGGAGAUUUCGUUCCUUAUCUCCACCUUCCGUAAUAUAAAAUGAUUAAAUAAUGAUUUAUGUUCUUGCUACGCUACGCUCGCGCUACGUUGGCAAGCAAGUCCGUGGCGUCCCAGUUGGUCCACCUCAAAGCCACAGGAGCAUUUGUGCGGUGCGCAGAUUGGGGCCCCUAAGCGUAGCCCCAUUGCCAAUCGGAGUGUUUCGGAGUCUAGAUGGAAAUAUUCUGAGGUGCUCUAACGCCAAAUAGUCUCACGUAGACAGCAGAAGAGGCAAUAAAGAAAGAACAGUGUUCGAGUGGAUGUCAUCUGGCAUGCCGAGCCUUCCGGGCAUUCCUAAUCCGCCAACUGUAGCUGCGAGGAAUUCCAAAUUUGAACUGUGGAUGAAGUGCAUUAUACGCCCGCGCUACUCGUAGUACCGCUGCACGCGAUGGUGUAACAAGACGUUUACAACCAAUUUAUUGUUGCAAAUAGCUCGCGGAAUUCUGCAUUGUUACACGUUAGUUCAUGUUUUGUUGAAGUUUGUGUACAAAUUAAUUGAGCAUAUUACAAAACAUUAUUGAAUCCGCAAUGGGUUUGUCCUCAGCAAUAGCUUUGGAUUGAGAUCAAGUAUAAGUCAACAUACAGAGUUUUUUAGGCACCUGCAUUAAUUUACGGGGUGAAUAUACAGGUCAUUCUGAGCAGUUUUUACUAUGGGUCUAACCCCGAAAUCAUGCAAAAAUAUUUCAGGUCAGGGUGUUUGCCUGUUUCAUACAUUUUGGCUGUCUGACCUUGACAUUUUUGAAAAGAAAAGGAGAGUACAUUUUGGAGUUUGUCCUAUAGUAACGGUUGCUAAGUAUGACCUAUAUAUUCACCCCGUAAAUUAUUACAGGUAACUAAAUAAACUCCUUGUAUAAAUUAAAUGAAGUGAAGAAUUAAGAACUAUAAAUAAAUAAAUAAUUAGGGGACAAUCUUACACAGAUCGCCCUAGCCUCAAACUAAGCAAAGAUUGUACUAUGGGGACUAGGCGACAUUAUACAUACGUAUAUAAAUAAAUAUAUCUAUAGAUAACAUCCAUAACUCAACAAAUAUUCGUGAUAAACACACAAAUAAAUGCCCUUACCGGAAUUCGAACCCAGGACCACCUGCUUCGUAGGCAAGGUCACUACCGACUAGCCUUAGGAGACCGUCCAAUAUCUUUCGUGGAAAAAUCUUUAUUUUCAGGCAAGUACUGUAAGGCCCAUAGAAUAGAUCCUAAUAUAGAUUGACAUUAAAACUAUCAUCCGUACGAGUACCCAAUACAAAAUAUAAGUAUCUUUAAACUAAAAACACAAGCCAAAAUACAAGUACCUAAAUAGCGCUUAGAUUCCUUAAAACCAAAAAAAGGGCAAACCAA
Cydia pomonella (codling moth) is the source of this 2112-nucleotide long non-coding RNA. RefSeq lists it as uncharacterized. Lineage: Eukaryota; Metazoa; Arthropoda; Insecta; Lepidoptera; Tortricidae. The record is from RefSeq and is a predicted model, not a curated record. The transcript is spliced from 2 exons.